UACGUAGGGGGCUAGCGUUAUCCGGAAUUACUGGGCGUAAAGGGCGCGUAGGCGGACAGUUAAGUCAGAGGUGAAAGCCCAGGGCUCAACCUUGGAACUGCCUUUGAUACUGGCUGUCUUGAGUUCGGGAGAGGUGUGUGGAACUCCGAGUGUAGAGGUGAAAUUCGUAGAUAUUCGGAAGAACACCAGUGGCGAAGGCGACACACUGGCCCGAUACUGACGCUGAGGCGCGAAAGCGUGGGGAGCAAACAGG
Molecule: ribosomal RNA, 253 nt
Filed under: uncultured bacterium
Lineage: Bacteria
Description: partial 16S ribosomal RNA
Rfam family: Bacterial small subunit ribosomal RNA
Source: RNAcentral